RNAcentral lists this long non-coding RNA (274 nucleotides) under Homo sapiens (human). RNAcentral's name for it is "long non-coding RNA NONHSAT135004". The record is from RNAcentral. Lineage: Eukaryota; Metazoa; Chordata; Mammalia; Primates; Hominidae.
UUAGGUUUAGUGAGGGUGGGCAGUGGGACUCACGUGAGUGCUACUGAUUCCCUCCAGCAAGAGACGGGUCACUUCUGCUUGCCGGUCAAACUCUGUCUGGGCCACGCGGAGCUCCUGCUCGGCUUGUCCACUUCAUCAUUCCAGAGCUGUGGAGACGGCAGCAGGAGUGGCCAGCAGGGGAGGGGAGAGGAGGACAGCUGGACCCUAGAGCCUGUGCCCUGCCCCAGCUCCCAGACUCAACUUCUGCCCCCCUGCCCCUCUGCCCCCCCUCCCA